This 253-nucleotide ribosomal RNA is filed under the name uncultured bacterium. Its description in RNAcentral is "partial 16S ribosomal RNA". It matches the Rfam family "Bacterial small subunit ribosomal RNA", at positions 524 to 776 of the family's 1533-position model. The record is from RNAcentral.
UACAGAGGUGGCAAGCGUUGUUCGGAAUUACUGGGCGUAAAGGGCGCGCAGGCGGCACUACAGGUACUGGGUGAAAUCUCCCUGCUCAACGGGGAGGGUGCUUAGUAGACUGUAGAGCUAGAGGUGGGUAGAGGGUGGUGGAAUUGCUGGUGUAGCGGUGAAAUGCGUAGAGAUCCGGAGGAACACCGACGGCGUAGGCAGCGCCCUAGACGAGACCUGACGCUCAGGCACGAAAGCGCGGGGAGCGAACAGG